Ailuropoda melanoleuca (giant panda) is the source of this 482-nucleotide long non-coding RNA. RefSeq lists it as uncharacterized. The transcript is spliced from 3 exons. Lineage: Eukaryota; Metazoa; Chordata; Mammalia; Carnivora; Ursidae. The record is from RefSeq and is a predicted model, not a curated record.
CUAACCGCUGUGCCACCCAGGCGCCCCAAGGAAGAGCCUAUUCAAACACUGUUUUGCUUCUGUCUUUUCCAGAAAAGGAGAAUGUUCUGUCUUUUCCAGAAAAGGAGACAACAGUAACACAAGAUGGGACAUUCAGGUUGUUCGAAUUUUUUACCACUGUAAAUAACACUGAGAGACUUUCUGGAUUUCCAAUCCUCAUCCAGUCUUCAGAAUGUCCUACUGAGGCAUAUCUUCCACCAUCUGCCCAUUCAUCUCCACAUACUGAGCAGCCGGAGCUUGCACUUUCACUCCCAUAACUGUAGUUUCUGCUUUGGAACUGACUCCCACCUCCCUGAAACUUGGAGAUGCCCUCUACCUCUGGACUUCCUAGCUGGAAUCAGGAAGAAUAGGCAUUUGCAUGGAUUGGGAAAGUUCCCUUCUCCCAUACUUGAUCACCCGGAGCUUGUAACGAGAGGCUGACGACUGGGAGGCCAUCUGGUAGA